This is a long non-coding RNA of Girardinichthys multiradiatus, 1022 nucleotides long. RefSeq lists it as uncharacterized. NCBI's taxonomy places the organism in Eukaryota, Metazoa, Chordata, Actinopteri, Cyprinodontiformes, Goodeidae. The transcript is spliced from 3 exons. The record is from RefSeq and is a predicted model, not a curated record.
GGCAGGUAGACAGUCACAGCGCUAUGUAUUGCUCAAGCUGCGGAAAAGAGUUGGUUGAGCUGUCACCGAACUUUUGCAGCAGCUGUGGCAAGAGGAUUCAAGAAAUAUGUGUUGGAGCUACUCCACAGCCUUCAAAUAAAUGUUGGCUUGAUGGUAAUUCAGAAGGGUUGUCUAAGGCCACAGCGGGGAAAAACUAUUUCCCUUACAACAGACCCAGAUAUCUCUGCCACAACUCUGCUCAGUCAGGCUGUUAAAAAAAUGAAGGAAUAAAGAUGUAAAAGAUGAGCCUUUCCUUCUUCUGUAUCCAGAUGGGACAGAGGUCAUUAAUAUCCUUGGGACACAAAGACCUUUUACCCUUGCUGCUUAUAAGGCUGAAGUUGGCAAGUCAUAUCAAAGCAUUACUGUUUUCAUCUGCUUGAAAAGGGACUUUGAAGAAGCCAUGGGAACCUCUGGAUGAAAGCAGUCCUUUACAAAAAGUGACUAUUCCACAAACAUAGCCUAAAAAUGUUGGUGUAUCUUCUGUAACCAGACAGUGGAAAACACUCAUUUGCUUAUGGUAAGUAAUUUUUUGAGCAAACUCAAUAUGGCAUGAUAGUGUGCAAAACAAGAAAAUGUUAUAAAAUCAAUGCUGAUCAGCUUCCACUGUACAUCGCAUCUACCAAACACAGAUGUACCCACCUUCCUCUUCUGAAAAAAGACCACCAUGACUUGAUGGGUUGACUCCCUGUUGAUGAUCCGUAACUGUGGCUUGAUGAUCUAGCAUAAUAGUCCGUAUGCACAUGACGGAAGGUACACUGUAUUGCUGCCAUAGUCCCAUUCUCAGUCCCAAGGUCUGUUCGUAGUCUCAUUGGUAUCACUCCAAGACUCUUGACACAGUUUAUAAAAUUGAGAGCAAUGACAGAAGGAUUGUUGUUUGUAUUUCCACAAACAAGCCACAUCACAACCACAUUUUUGUUAUUUGUAAUUGUGCUUAGUUAAUGUUGUUGUGAUUUAGUUAAUGUUGUUGUGUUUUUGUUAAUGUU